UUUUGUUCUGUUUCGGGAUAUGGAGUGAUUCCUACUCUUCACUGGGUUUGGCUCAAUGGAGGAAUUGGUGCUCCUAUUGUACAGGACUUUGCACCCCGUGUAAUUGUGAUGUAUAUGAUUGCUCUUCUUGCUUUCCUAUUCUACAUUUCCAAAGUCCCAGAGCGGUACUUUCCAGCUUUAAAAUCAUAUUUUAGAAUCAGGAACGAAGAUUCAGGGAAUGUCUGUCACAUCUUAUGGCAUCCCACCUGGACAGAAUAUCCGAUUUGAAGAUUGUGAUUGACUUCCGUAAAACUGUACAACUCUCCAUUUGGCAGUGCUUACGUGAAGUACCAAAACCUAAAAUAAACCAAGCAGAGUAGCUGACUUGUAAGAAAACUGCUCUGCCUGGUGAACUUCAGCAUAGAAGAGUGGGCUCCACCUUAGAUUUUCCACCAGCAAGAGGACAACAGUCUAUCACUCUUAAACAAUAAACAGGGUAAGACUGAAA
RNAcentral lists this non-coding RNA (487 nucleotides) under Pan troglodytes (chimpanzee). RNAcentral also lists the same sequence under 1 other name. Lineage: Eukaryota; Metazoa; Chordata; Mammalia; Primates; Hominidae. The record is from RNAcentral.